AGAGUUUGAUCCUGGCUCAGAAUGAACGUUGGCGGCGUGGAUUAGGCAUGCAAGUUGAGCGAGAAGUUUUGGGAAGAUACUUCGGUUGAUUUUCAGGACGGACAGCGGCGAAAGGGAGAGUAACGAGUAGAUACGUACCCAAGGGUUCGGGAUAGCCAUGCGAAAGCGUGAGUAAUACCGAAUAAUGUCUCCGGACCAAAGAUUUAUUGCCCUUGGAGCGGUCUGCUUACUAUUAGCUUGUUGGUGGGGUAAUGGCCUACCAAGGCAAAGAUGGUUAGCGGGUGUGAGAGCAUGGCCCGUCUCACUGGGACUGAGACACUGCCCAGACACCUACGGGUGGCUGCAGUCGAGAAUCUUCCGCAAUGGGCGAAAGCCUGACGGAGCGACGCCGCGUGCUGGAUGAAGGCCCUCGGGUUGUAAACAGCUGUCGUAGGGGAGGAAAUUUUGACCGAUCCUAGGAGGAAGCACAGGCUAAGUUCGUGCCAGCAGCCGCGGUAAUACGAACUGUGCGAACGUUAUUCGGAAUCACUGGGCUUAAAGGGUGCGUAGGCGGGUUGGUAGGUCAGAUGUGAAAGCCCACGGCUCAACCGUGGAAUUGCGUUUGAAACCACUAGUCUUGAGGGGAUCAGAGGAGAGCGGAACUGAUGGUGGAGCGGUGAAAUGCGUUGAUAUUAUCAGAACACCGGUGGCGAAAGCGG
RNAcentral lists this ribosomal RNA (698 nucleotides) under uncultured bacterium. RNAcentral's name for it is "bacterial SSU rRNA". It matches the Rfam family "Bacterial small subunit ribosomal RNA", at positions 8 to 724 of the family's 1533-position model. The record is from RNAcentral.